AGUAACGGCGAGUGAAGCGGCAACAGCUCAAAUUUGAAAUCUGGCUUCGGCCCGAGUUGUAAUUUGCAGAGGAAGCUUUAGGCGCGGCACCAACUGAGUCCCCUGGACCGGGGCGCCACAGAGGGUGAGAGCCCCGUAUAGUUGGACGCCUAGCCUGUGUAAAGCUCUUUCGACGAGUCGAGUUGUUUGGGA
This 192-nucleotide ribosomal RNA is filed under the name Humicola olivacea. RNAcentral's name for it is "partial large subunit ribosomal RNA". It matches the Rfam family "Eukaryotic large subunit ribosomal RNA", at positions 82 to 279 of the family's 3401-position model. The record is from RNAcentral. Lineage: Eukaryota; Fungi; Ascomycota; Sordariomycetes; Sordariales; Chaetomiaceae.